GUGGGGAAUAUUGGACAAUGGGCGAAAGCCUGAUCCAGCCAUGCCGCGUGUGUGAAGAAGGUCUUCGGAUUGUAAAGCACUUUAAGUUGGGAGGAAGGGCAGUAAGUUAAUACCUUGCUGUUUUGACGUUACCGACAGAAUAAGCACCGGCUAACUUCGUGCCAGCAGCCGCGGUAAUACGAAGGGUGCAAGCGUUAAUCUGAAUUACUGGGCGUAAAGCGCGCGUAGGUGGUUUUGUAAGUUGGAGGUGAAAUCCCCGGGCUCAACCUGGGAACUGCCUCCAAAACUGCAUGACUAGAGUACGGUAGAGGGUAGUGGAAAUUCCUGUGUAGCGGUGAAAUGCGUAGAUAUAGGAAGGAACACCAGUGGCGAAGGCGACUACCUGGACUGAUACUGACACUGAGGUGCGAAAGCGUGGGGAGCAAACAGGAUUAGAAACCCUUGUAGUCC
Molecule: ribosomal RNA, 450 nt
Filed under: uncultured bacterium
Lineage: Bacteria
Description: partial 16S ribosomal RNA
Rfam family: Bacterial small subunit ribosomal RNA
Source: RNAcentral